UCUUUGGAAAUAUGUCAGACUGACAGAUACAAGACAAAAAACUCGCAUUUUUUUUCAAAAAUCCGAAAAAUCCUAUUUUUUUAUAAAUAAUUAUUAGAAAUAUUUCUAAAAUUCAUACAUAGCUAAAAUAUCUACAAAAAUGCCAAUAUACUACGGAGGCUACCCCGGCGGCCCAGACGCGGGGGGCUACUGUUUGUUCUCGUACCGCUGCUGCAACCCCAGCAUCGGGGGCUGCGGCCACUGGCCCCCGCUGCCGGGGGCUAACUGCGGACCUCCUUGUCCAGGACCGCGGUGUUGAAUGUUAUUCUUGGUUUUCAGUCUGUUCUCUGUAAUCUGAAGAAUAGUCAUGUCCCAGAUCACCCACUAACUCAUGUCUGUCUAUUAAUAAAGUUUGAUAUUUAUAAAAGUUA
Molecule: long non-coding RNA, 410 nt
Organism: Plutella xylostella (diamondback moth)
Lineage: Eukaryota; Metazoa; Arthropoda; Insecta; Lepidoptera; Plutellidae
Source: RefSeq, a predicted model, not a curated record